UAAUGGGUCAGCGACUUAUAUUCUGUAGCAAGGUUAACCGAAUAGGGGAGCCGGAGGGAAACCGAGUCUUAAUUGGGCGUUAAGUUGCAGGGUAUAGACCCGAAACCCGGUGAUCUAGCCAUGGGCAGGUUGAAGGUUGGGUAACACUAACUGGAGGACCGAACCGACUAAUGUUGAAAAAUUAGCGGAUGACCUGUGGCUGGGGGUGAAAGGCCAAUCAAACCGGGAGAUAGCUGGUUCUCCCCGAAAGCUAUUUAGGUAGCGCCUCGUGAAUUCAUCUCCGGGGGUAGAGCACUGUUUCGGCUAGGGGGCCAUCCCGGCUUACCAACCCGAUGCAAACUGCGAAUACCGGAGAAUGUUAUCACGGGAGACACACGGCGGGUGCUAACGUCCGUCGUGAAGAGGGAAACAACCCAGACCGCCAGCUAAGGUCCCAAAGUCAUGGUUAAGUGGGAAACGAUGUGGGAAGGCCCAGACAGCCAGGAUGUUGGCUUAGAAGCAGCCAUCAUUUAAAGAAAGCGUAAUAGCUCACUGGUCGAGUCGGCCUGCGCGGAAGAUGUAACGGGGCUAAACCAUGCACCGAAGCUGCGGCAGCGAACGUAUCACUUAAAGCGAUUCAGCGGGUUACGAUUGACGGAGCGAAGCGACGUCAAAGCGUAUACAAAGUCGAGUCGGUUUAAGGAUACGUU
RNAcentral lists this ribosomal RNA (689 nucleotides) under Salmonella enterica subsp. enterica serovar Anatum. RNAcentral describes it as "partial 23S ribosomal RNA". It matches the Rfam family "Bacterial large subunit ribosomal RNA", at positions 613 to 1298 of the family's 2925-position model. The record is from RNAcentral. Lineage: Bacteria; Pseudomonadati; Pseudomonadota; Gammaproteobacteria; Enterobacterales; Enterobacteriaceae.